AGGGUCAUAGCUCAGGGGUAGGGUGCCUGCUUAGCAUGCAGGAGGUCCUGAGUUCAAUCCCCAGUAGCUCCA
RNAcentral lists this transfer RNA (72 nucleotides) under Camelus bactrianus (Bactrian camel). It matches the Rfam family "tRNA". From Rfam's summary of the family: Transfer RNA (tRNA) molecules are approximately 80 nucleotides in length. Their secondary structure includes four short double-helical elements and three loops (D, anti-codon, and T loops). Further hydrogen bonds mediate the characteristic L-shaped molecular structure. tRNAs have two regions of fundamental functional importance: the anti-codon, which is responsible for specific mRNA codon recognition, and the 3' end, to which the tRNAs corresponding amino acid is attached (by aminoacyl-tRNA synthetases). tRNAs cope with the degeneracy of the genetic code in two manners: having more than one tRNA (with a specific anti-codon) for a particular amino acid; and 'wobble' base-pairing, i.e. permitting non-standard base-pairing at the 3rd anti-codon position. RNAcentral also lists the same sequence under 2 other names. Lineage: Eukaryota; Metazoa; Chordata; Mammalia; Artiodactyla; Camelidae. The record is from Rfam by way of RNAcentral.